Molecule: ribosomal RNA, 451 nt
Filed under: uncultured prokaryote
Description: bacterial SSU rRNA
Rfam family: Bacterial small subunit ribosomal RNA
Source: RNAcentral
UCGGGAAUUUUGGGCAAUGGGGGGAAACCCUGACCCAGCAACGCCGCGUGAGGGAUGAAGGCCUUCGGGUCGUAAACCUCUGUCGGGAGGGAAGAACGGCAUCUGUUCGAACAGGGCAGGUGAUUGGCGGUACCUCCAAAGGAAGGACCGGCUAACUCCGUGCCAGCAGCCGCGGUAAUACGGAGGGUCCGAGCGUUGUUCGGAAUCACUGGGCGUAAAGCGCGUGUAGGCGGCUUGGCAAGUCGGUUGUGAAAUCCGGGGGCGCAACCCCGGAACUGCAACCGAAACUGCCUCGCUCGAGUCCCGGAGAGGGUGGCGGAAUUUCCGGUGUAGAGGUGAAAUUCGUAGAUAUCGGAAGGAACACCAGUGGCGAAGGCGGCCACCUGGACGGUGACUGACGCUGAGACGCGAAAGCGUGGGGAGCAAACAGGAUUAGAUACCCCCGUAGUCC